Molecule: ribosomal RNA, 491 nt
Filed under: uncultured bacterium
Lineage: Bacteria
Description: partial 16S ribosomal RNA
Rfam family: Bacterial small subunit ribosomal RNA
Source: RNAcentral
AGUGAACGCUGGCGGUAGGCCUAACACAUGCAAGUCGAACGGCAGCACAGUAGGAGCUUGCUCUUACGGGUGGCGAGUGGCGGACGGGUGAGGAAUACAUCGGAAUCUACUUUUUCGUGGGGGAUAACGUAGGGAAACUUACGCUAAUACCGCAUACGACCUACGGGUGAAAGCAGGGGAUCUUCGGACCUUGCGCGAUUGAAUGAGCCGAUGUCGGAUUAGCUAGUUGGCGGGGUAAAGGCCCACCAAGGCGACGAUCUGUAGCUGGUCUGAGAGGAUGAUCAGCCACACUGGAACUGAGACACGGUCCAGACUCCUACGGGAGGCAGCAGUGGGGAAUAUUGGACAAUGGGCGCAAGCCUGAUCCAGCCAUACCGCGUGGGUGAAGAAGGCCUUCGGGUUGUAAAGCCCUUUUGUUGGGAAGAAAAGCAGCAGGUUAAUACCCCGCUGUUCUGACGGUACCCAAAGAAUAAGCACCGGCUAACUUCGUG